UCGGGAAUUUUGGGCAAUGGGCGAAGGCCUGACCCAGCAACGCCGCGUGAGGGAUGAAGUAUUUCGGUAUGUAAACCUCGAAAGAAUGGGAAGAAUAAAUGACGGUACCAUUUAUAAGCUCCGGCUAACUACGUGCCAGCAGCCGCGGUAAUACGUAGGGAGCAAGCGUUGUUCGGAUUUACUGGGCGUAAAGGGCGCGUAGGCGGCGCGGUAAGUCACUUGUGAAAUCUCUGAGCUUAACUCAGAACGGCCAAGUGAUACUGCUGUGCUAGAGUGCGGAAGAGGCAACCGGAAUUCUUGGUAUAGCGGUGAAAUGCGUAGAUAUCAAGAGGAACACCUGAGGCGAAGGCGGGUUGCUGGGCCGACACUGACGCUGAUGCGCGAAAGCCAGGGGAGCAAACG
Molecule: ribosomal RNA, 402 nt
Filed under: uncultured bacterium
Lineage: Bacteria
Description: bacterial SSU rRNA
Rfam family: Bacterial small subunit ribosomal RNA
Source: RNAcentral